RNAcentral lists this ribosomal RNA (496 nucleotides) under uncultured bacterium. RNAcentral's name for it is "partial 16S ribosomal RNA". It matches the Rfam family "Bacterial small subunit ribosomal RNA", at positions 28 to 506 of the family's 1533-position model. The record is from RNAcentral.
GAUGAACGCUGGCGGCGUGCCUAAUACAUGCAAGUCGAGCGAACAGAUGAGGAGCUUGCUCCUCUGACGUUAGCGGCGGACGGGUGAGUAACACGUGGAUAACCUACCUAUAAGACUGGGAUAACUUCGGGAAACCGGAGCUAAUACCGGAUAAUAUAUUGAACCGCAUGGUUCAAUAGUGAAAGACGGUUUUGCUGUCACUUAUAGAUGGAUCCGCGCCGCAUUAGCUAGUUGGUAAGGUAACGGCUUACCAAGGCAACGAUGCGUAGCCGACCUGAGAGGGGGACCGCCAACCCUGGAACUGAGCAACGUUCAAGACCCCAAGGGGAGCAGGAAGUAGGAAAUUUUCCGAAAGGGCGGAAAGCCUGACGAGGAACCGCGGGGGGAGUAAUGAAGGCUUCGGAUUGUAAAACCUCUGUAAUAGGGAAAAACAAAAUGUGUAAGUAACAAUGACGGUUUGGAGGUUACCUAACAAGAAGGCAAGGGUUAACAACGU